GUAAUACUCCCUCUGUCCGGAAAUACUUGUCGUUGAAAUUAAUAAAUAUGAAUGUAUCUAAAACUACAAUAUGUCUAGAUACAUUCAUUUCUUUGACAAGUAUUUUCAGGCGGAGGGAGUAAAUU
Molecule: non-coding RNA, 125 nt
Organism: Triticum aestivum (bread wheat)
Lineage: Eukaryota; Viridiplantae; Streptophyta; Magnoliopsida; Poales; Poaceae
Source: Rfam